This is a long non-coding RNA of Macaca mulatta (Rhesus monkey), 1554 nucleotides long. The record is from Ensembl. NCBI's taxonomy places the organism in Eukaryota, Metazoa, Chordata, Mammalia, Primates, Cercopithecidae.
UUCCAUUGCGCUGAACUCAAGGAGGAGGAGGAAAGUGGGAGCUGCUGCACUCACGGCUGAGUGUGCAUGGCUGGUAGGUGACAGCCUGAGGUCUGUUCGGUGACCCCGGCCCCUCGGAGGGCCCGCGGAGACUCAGAAUUAGCUGCACUUACCACGGUGCCCGCGGGUCGGGGUGCGGAUCCACACCCCAGAGGAAGGCCGCUCCCGGGCCGCGAGGACCUCGCUGGCGGCCGCUUGGGGGCAGCAGACGCCCGCCCUGCGGGGGAGGUGGGGCCUGCAGGCCGCGGGGCCGCUCUCGGAGCCCGGCAGGCCUGAGCAGGUCGGGGCGCGUGUUCCGGAAGCCCGGUCCCGGGCGCUGUGAGGGGCACCUGGGGACGCUCCGCGAGUCUGUGUCCCAGCCCUGAGCUCAGCGGAAGACUGCAGAGUCCUGGGCCCACGAGGUGGGUCUCCGCUCCGUCCGGACGCGGGCACGCUCCCAGUGUCUCUCGGGAAAAGUGACCUGGACUUCGUGCCGGGGAGAAGGCGCCGAGGCCGGGCCACGCCUGUCCGGGGAAGCCUGAACCGCCGCCCCGGGGUGUGCAGGGUGCGGGUGGGGGUGAAGUUCCGGAAGACUGCUGGUGCCGAGAGAUGGGUGGAUCGGCAGGUCUUGUUAGCAAGGACAAAGGAAAUCGUUACGUUAUUGGCUUAGCUGUUAUUUAAAAUAAAAACAUAAACAUAAUUAAAAAUAAGCACUUUUUCCGGGGGCAGUGGCUCAUGCCUGUAUUCCCAGCACUUUCGGAGGCCGAGACCGAGGCAGGCAGAUCACUUGACCUCAGGAGUUUGAGACCAGCCUGGCCAACAUGGUGAAACCUCAUCUCUACUAAAAAUACAAAAAUUAGCCCAGCGUGGUGGCGCAUGCCUGUAGUCCCAGCUACUGGAGAGUCCGAGGCAGGAGAAUUGCUUGAGCCCGGGAAGCGGAGGUUGCAGUGAGCCAAGAUCAUGCCACUGUACUCCAGUCUCAGGGAAAGAAUGAGGCUAUGGCAAAAAAAAAAAAAAAAAAAAAAAAAAUAUUGCCCUUUGGGUAUGACUGUGUUUUCUCUACACACAUGAACUGUGUCUUUGAAAGGACAACUUCCUUUUCCUGACUGUGCAUCAUCUGACCAAAUUCCAAACUCCCGUAAUUUAAGGAAAUAAUAUACUUUGUGGAAAAAUUAGAAAAUAUAUAUUAGCAAAGAAAGAAUAAAGGCAAGCCGCGUGCAGUCCCAUUACUCUGAGAUGGCCGCUGUUGCUGGUGUGGUGGGCCUCAUCCAGACUUUUCUCUAUGCAAGCACAAACACACAUGCUCAACUCAGUUUAUUUUAUUUUUCCAAAACGGAAGUCAUGCUGUACAUAAUGUUUUGUAAUCAAAAAAUUUUUCUUUUUGAUAUAUCAUGAACAUUUUGCCCAUCAUGAAAUAUCCUUUUAAAUUGUAUGCAAUUCCACUGUAAACAUGUGGGUUUAUUUGACACCUUGAUUGUUGGACAUUUUAUCUUGAAUGCUUAGAAUGGAAAAGAAUUAUCCCCGGAUAGGAAGGUA